Sinocyclocheilus grahami is the source of this 185-nucleotide long non-coding RNA. RefSeq lists it as uncharacterized. The record is from RefSeq and is a predicted model, not a curated record. NCBI's taxonomy places the organism in Eukaryota, Metazoa, Chordata, Actinopteri, Cypriniformes, Cyprinidae. The transcript is spliced from 2 exons.
AUAUCCGCCGGCAGUUAGAAGAAGAACAAAGGCAGCUGGAGAUUCUUCAACAGCAGCUUCUCCAGGAACAAGCUCUUCUCCUGGAAUACAAACGGAAGCAGUUGGAGGAGCAGAGACAGGCUGAGCGGUUACAGCGGCAGCUGCAGCAGGAAAGGGCCUACCUGGUCUCACUGCAGCAACAGCAA